Molecule: ribosomal RNA, 523 nt
Filed under: uncultured microorganism
Description: bacterial SSU rRNA
Rfam family: Bacterial small subunit ribosomal RNA
Source: RNAcentral
GAGUUUGAUCCUGGCUCAGGAUGAACGCUGGCGGCGUGCCUAAUACAUGCAAGUCGAGCGAACAGACGAGGAGCUUGCUCCUCUGACGUUAGCGGCGGACGGGUGAGUAACACGUGGAUAACCUACCUAUAAGACUGGGAUAACUUCGGGAAACCGGAGCUAAUACCGAAUAAUAUAUUGAACCGCAUGGUUCAAUAGUGAAAAACGGUUUUGCUGUCACUUAUAGAUGGAUCCGCGCCGCAUUAGCUAGUUGGUAGGGUAACGGCUUACCAAGGCGACGAUGCGUAGCCGACCUGAGAGGGUGAUCGGCCACACUGGAACUGAGACACGGUCCAGACUCCUACGGGAGGCAGCAGUAGGGAAUCUUCCGCAAUGGGCGAAAGCCUGACGGAGCAACGCCGCGUGAGUGAUGAAGGUCUUCGGAUCGUAAAACUCUGUUAUUAGGGAAGAACAAAUGUGUAAGUAACUAUGCACGUCUUGACGGUACCUAAUCAGAAAGCCACGGCUAACUACGUGCCAGCAC